This 205-nucleotide ribosomal RNA is filed under the name Clostridioides difficile. Its description in RNAcentral is "partial 23S ribosomal RNA". It matches the Rfam family "Bacterial large subunit ribosomal RNA", at positions 1364 to 1565 of the family's 2925-position model. The record is from RNAcentral. Lineage: Bacteria; Bacillati; Bacillota; Clostridia; Peptostreptococcales; Peptostreptococcaceae.
GUUCGUCCGCCCUGGGUUAGUCGGGACCUAAGCUGAGGCCGAAAGGCGUAGGUGAUGGACAACAGGUUGAUAUUCCUGUACUACCGAUAACCGUUUGAGAGAGGGGAUGACACAGUAGGAUAAGCUAAGCACACUGUUGGUUAUGUGUGCCCAAGCAUUGAGGCAGUCAAAGUAGGCAAAUCCGCUUUGAUAAUGCUGGGAUGUG